GACCAACUGAAGAGUUUUUUUUCGAAAUUGAGAUAGCGAUUGAUUUAGAUAGUAGAUAGCAUCAAAGUUAGUUCCUAAAAAUUUGAGAUUUUAGAAAAGCGUAUUUAUAUUAGAAAAAGUAAUUUGAAAGUGUAAAAAAUAACGAGAUUUGAAAAUCAGCUUCAAUGGCCGAAACCGGAAGUGACGUAUUGUAAUGGACUGAGAAAAUGUAAAUAAAAAUAGACAUGGCUGGAUACGUUAUUGAUAGCGAUUCAGAUGAUAAAUUUAUCUAAAUCUAGCUGUCCAACAAUUUUAAAUGAUACUUAUCAUGGGAUGCACCAAAAUGCCAUGAAGAGAACUCUUCUACUUUUUCAAAAUAUAUUCUAGAGCAGACUAUUGAAUUAAUAUAAUUAUAGAUAGAUUAUAAUAAUAGGACUAGUUUCUAGAUUAUCACUAGCACUAGGUCACUAGAAAUCUAGAUCUACUACUCAGAUCUAGACUCUAGAGUGACUCUAGAGUCUAGACCUAGUCUACUCUAGUAGUAGUCUCUAGUAUCAUCAAGUACUAGUAGAUCAUCUAGGACUAGGUCUAGGUAUACUAUACUUAGACUAUACUAAGUCUAAUAGUUAUAACAAAACUAAAUGAAAACAUAUAUGACAUGUGGCAUACAGACAAGUUUACUAGAUGGAUCUUUCAUCAUUUUGGAAAUACAAUAUUCCCUGUGAAACAAAUCACAGAAACAUUCUACAAUUUUAUUUUAUAUAAUAAAUACCAAUAAAUGUAAAUACAAAAUCACA
Long non-coding RNA from Biomphalaria glabrata, 776 nucleotides. RefSeq lists it as uncharacterized. The transcript has 2 exons. The record is from RefSeq and is a predicted model, not a curated record. Lineage: Eukaryota; Metazoa; Mollusca; Gastropoda; Planorbidae.